Ananas comosus (pineapple) is the source of this 2934-nucleotide long non-coding RNA. RefSeq lists it as uncharacterized. NCBI's taxonomy places the organism in Eukaryota, Viridiplantae, Streptophyta, Magnoliopsida, Poales, Bromeliaceae. The transcript is spliced from 8 exons. The record is from RefSeq and is a predicted model, not a curated record.
UUCGGAACCUUCUAGACUAGAGAUCUAAUCCGGUCGCGUUCCCCUCGACGUCGACGAGGAGGGAGAAUACGACGUCGCCAUUGGAGCAAGCGCGAUCUCUCCUCGCCAUCCAUAUCGGCGGAUCCCUCUUCCCUACGCUCCCUCCGACGAUCUCGAGUACGUUCUCUCCCUUCGUUGCGAUCUCCGUCCCCUUUGGAUCGGUUCUCGAUUGCUCCGAUUCCGCGGCUUCUUUUGAUCGAAGCGAGCUGGCUUCCUUGCUUUGCUCUUAUGAACAAUCAAUUUGCCGGGGUUCCGUAUCUUUUUCUUGGAAAAAUUUAAAGAAUAUACUUUUUCUCGCUGAUACAUCAUGCUUAAAUCUUGGAAAGGCAAUAACAGUUCUUUCAAACUUUGCACGCUUCAUCUGCUCUGAAGAUUCCAAGAUGCGCUUCUCUCCAAAUCACAUUUAGCAGUGCUGGGGUAUGCUUGACUUAUAAGGGAGGCUAUCUUCCAAGGCCAUGAAUGCUGGCGAUCGAGGUCCUCUUCUCGGGGCCGAGCACCGCCUGGUGCAGGAGGCUUCUGUACCGGCCAUUGCUGAGGACCUCAAGGUGGUCCCCCACAUGGACAUGCAGGGUCUCGAAGUUUGCAGGUAUUGCCUUCCAGGGUUCACCGUCGGCUCCUGCAGCGAUCUGGAGGCCGUCACGGUUUUGGAGGACAAUACUGAUUAGCCCAUAGUCAGUGUGGGGCGCGAGCCCAACUGCAGAGUCUGGUUGGGACUGCUGGCAAGGGUAGCAGUUCACGGCCACGAGCUGCAUGCCCUCCUUCAACUUGUCUCUUAUGUGCAGAAAUUGCAUGAAGAUAAACUACAUCUAUGAGACUAUCAAAAGCGGAAAAGAAAAAGCCUGUGAAGCAGUUACCUAUACUCCGGUGGGUUCCGCGGCCAGAAGUGGAUCCACUCGCUGAGCGGAUGAGCGUAGUGCUUCAGAAGCAGCCUUGAGUUGCUGUCGCCAUCAUGCCGAGCUCCCUCAUACCUCACCGGCCUCUUUACGUCCUCGGAUGCAAUUUCUGCUUUCUCCUCCAGCGGCAGCUCAAAGAAGCUCGAAGCUGCUUCCAGGGCGCCCAUCAUGACUGAUUUGCUGAUGCCAUGGUUUACAACCUAUAUUUCAACCGUCGAAAGUUUAAGUCCAAGGUGAAAGACAAUUGACUAGUAAAGACAAAGCUUCGAAAGAUAUAAAACAAAGCGGAGACAGAAGAUACAUGAGACGAUAUCUACCGGUGGUGGAUGAAUUCUCGUUGGGUAUUCACAACAAUUGAAGAAAAACGAAGACGGUGAUCACCUCGAAGCAUCCGAAUUUCUGGCAAGCUGCACCGAUAUCCUUGGUCACCACAGACCUAGUUGCCAAGUGCGGACUACGUAAGAGCCUGAAAUCUAUGACCGGUAUGGUAUUUGGCUCCAUUCCCCUCGCCGCCGACUCUAUCGGAAUGGCAUCUAUGCGGGGAAGCGACAAACCGACCAAUUCUCGGGCGCUCAUUAUAAUGUAAGAAAGAUUGAGGAAGCAAGGUCUAGAGAAAAGGUUCAUCCCCGGAAGCCUUUUAGGAACGCUAUGCCUCCUAGUCUUUCUCUCGUGCUUCUCUCUCUCUCUCUCUCAAUGCCUGUUAUGGCAAUCCUAAAAGGUACUCUCAGAAUGCACCCCGAAAUAUUUCCGGUGAGAGUCACUGAAGUGGCACGGUGCGUCUCCCAAAAUGUCGCCAUUGAGAUUUUGACACGUGGACCACUGAUGCACGGUGUGGCUCCCCACUUGCCAGUGAAGGUUUGCCCAUGUUUUUGUUGGGGAAAAUUUCAUGAGUACCCUUCUUGCAGGUCAUUAUAUCAUAGAUGCCCCUCUAAAAUUAAAAAUAUCAUCAAUGCCCCUCUAAAUAUUGAAAAUACUCAUGAAUGCCCUUUAGGUAAAAAAUUCAUGAAAAACAUCAUCCAUUAUUUUUUAAAUGCCAUUUUUGCCCCUAAUAUCAAUUUAACAAAGUAUAAAAAUUUAAAGUUAUAUAAAUGAUUGGUUCUAAAUUUUGAACUGUAUAUUAACUAAAUUUUACUUUUUAAAAUUUUUAAUAAAACAUUUAUAAUUUACUAAAUAUAAAAUGCUCAUUUUUAAUUUUUUUCGCUAUGAAAUUAUAUAGUUUAUCAUAAUAUAUAACUGUCAAUAUUAGUAUUCAAUGUUACCUCAAAAGUUAAUUAUUUAUUAAUUCUAUUUAAAUAUAAUAAUUUACAUACAUUACACACAAAAAAAAGUAGAUAGCCAAAAUUCUUGAUAGUAUCAAUUGACAUUCAUAUAAAAUGUAUUUUCUACAAUAAAAUAAAAGUGCGUAAAAUUCCUUUCACCGAUAGGCCAUUUGAACAACCCCUUUAAUUUUAAUUUUUUUUAUUUACACCUUCUCAAUUUUAUUUUUUUUUUACAAUUGAGUGAUUUUUAUUAGCCAAUUCUUUUAAAAAAAAUUAGUAAAUUAAUGAAUGAGAUAACUCGGCUAAGAAAGUUUACUACAUGCAAAAACCUAAUAAAAAAACUAAAGGCUUAAGAGGCCUUAAUAAAAAAAAAGUUGAAGGGGUCUAUUUUAAAAUCGACCUAUAGGUGAGGGGUCUCCAUACACUUUUACUCACCAACAAUUAGGGGUAGAAAAGUCAUUUUAUCUUAUAAAAAUUUACAAAAACAAAUAGAGGGUAAUGGAAGGGUAUUCAUGAUAGUUUAUGAAGUUUGAGAGGGCAUUGGUGAUAUUUCAAAAUUUUGAAGGGUAUCUAUGAUAUUCUUAAAUUUUACAAGGGUAGUCAUGAAAUUGCCCCUUUGUUGCGUCGGUGUCGCGGGGGAAGGUAUAAUAUAUUAAUAGGUUAAUUUUAUACAUUUCACUACAAAUUUCACUACAAAUAUAGUGAAUUAUAAAUAUAUUUCUAUAAAUUUUAACUUUUAUAUA